ACCCAGAUAGACACAAAUCCUGGCCAGCCACCCGUCGAUCCAGCACACGGAAGGAGCUGUAAAAGGAUUGGGUGAUGCUACCCAGAUAGACACCAACCUUAGCCAGCCACCCGUGAUCCAGCACACGGGAGGCGAUGGAGGAGGACGUGUUCCUCGUGCCCGGAGAGCCCUAAACCUUCUCCGGCCAGCCGUGUCCCUGCGCAAGGGAGGAGCUGCAGGAGGACGGGGCGCUCCCGCAGCCGCUGCCCAGCCUCCUGUGUGCACCAAGAGCACAUCGGGUGGCAGCCGUGAUGGAGGAGGACUCGCUGGUGCCUCCGGUUUUGGACCAGCAGGCAAGAAAAGCGCGGUCUCGUCGCUGAAAGCGCCCUCUGCGUUAAGCAGUGCAGCCCCUGGUGAUGGCCGCAGAGGUGGACAGCAGCGACUUUGUGACUGUAUAGCAGAAGACAUGGCAACCUGGGAAUCUUCUGGACAGUGGAUGUUCUCGUGUUACUCUCCUGUGACGGGCAAGCCUAAUGUUUCAGGCUUUCCAGAGUUCUCCCAGGAGGAGGUGCGCCUGGAGUAUUAUAACUGCAGUGCAAACGAGAACACUGGAUACUACGUAAGUAUUUAAAACAACUGACCUUUGGUGGCUAGGAGUGGUUCAGGGUAGGAGUGGUUACUGUUCUUCAGGUGGCCACUCUUGACUCAGUGACAACCAAACUCGAGGGGGACGUAAGAAAGCCCUCCUACGUUCUCUUUUCUGUGCACCGAGUAGGAAACAACAGGAGCUGCUGGCCUGAAUGCUUUGCCAUAAGUGAGCAACCUGAUCUGUUUGUAGGUGUCCCUGUUCAUUGCAGGGGAGUUGGGUCAGAUGGCCUUAAAGGUCCCUUCUGACUCAAACAGGUCUAUGAUUCUCCCUUCUUCUUUCUGAUAACUGCGUGACACAGGCCUCACCAAUUAUGCAGGUAC
Meleagris gallopavo (turkey) is the source of this 948-nucleotide non-coding RNA. NCBI's taxonomy places the organism in Eukaryota, Metazoa, Chordata, Aves, Galliformes, Phasianidae. The record is from RefSeq and is a predicted model, not a curated record.